This 455-nucleotide ribosomal RNA is filed under the name uncultured bacterium. RNAcentral describes it as "bacterial SSU rRNA". It matches the Rfam family "Bacterial small subunit ribosomal RNA", at positions 48 to 490 of the family's 1533-position model. The record is from RNAcentral.
UUUACCAUGCAGUCGACGGCAGCGCGAGAAGCUUGCUUUCUUGGCGGCGAGUGGCGCAACGGGUGAGUAAUGUAUCGGAACGUACCCAGUAGCGGGGGAUAACUACGCGAAAGCGUGGCUAAUACCGCAUACGCCCUACGGGGGAAAGGGGGGGAUCGCAAGACCUCUCACUAUUGGAGCGGCCGAUAUCGGAUUAGCUGGUUGGUGGGGUAAAGGCCUACCAAGGCGACGAUCCGUAGCUGGUUUGAGAGGACGACCAGCCACACUGGGACUGAGACACGGCCCAGACUCCUACGGGAGGCAGCAGUGGGGAAUUUUGGACAAUGGGGGAAACCCUGAUCCAGCCAUCCCGCGUGUGCGAUGAAGGCCUUCGGGUUGUAAAGCACUUUUGGCAGGGAAGAAACGGCCCCGGGAUAAUACCCCUGGGGUUAAUGACGGGUACCCUGCAGAAUAAG